Molecule: ribosomal RNA, 483 nt
Filed under: uncultured bacterium
Lineage: Bacteria
Description: partial 16S ribosomal RNA
Rfam family: Bacterial small subunit ribosomal RNA
Source: RNAcentral
GACGAACGCUGGCGGCGUGCUUAACACAUGCAAGUCGAACGCUGAAGCUCAGCUUUUGUUGGGUGGAUGAGUGGCGAACGGGUGAGUAACACGUGAGUAACCUGCCCCCUUCUUUGGGAUAACGCCCGGAGACGGGUGCUAAUACUGGAUAUUCACUGGUCUUCGCAUGGGGGUUGGUGGAAAGGGUUUUUCUGGUGGGGGAUGGGCUCGCGGCCUAUCGGCUUGUUGGUGGGGUGAUGGCCUACCAAGGCUUUGACGGGUAGCCGGCCUGAGAGGGUGACCGGGCACAUUGGGACUGAGAUACGGCCCAGACUCCUACGGGAGGCAGCAGUGGGGAAUAUGGCACAAUGGGCGCAAGCCUGAUGCAGCGACGCCGCGUGAGGGAUGGAGGCCGUCGGGUUGUGAACCUCUUUCGCUCAUGGUCAAGCCGCAACAAUGGUUGUGGUGAGGGUAGUGGGUAAAGAAGCGCCGGCUAACUACGUG